GGAUGUAGCUCAGUGGUUGAGUGUUUUCCUAACAUAUGGUAAAGUCCUGGGUUCUAGCCCCAGCAUCC
Molecule: transfer RNA, 68 nt
Filed under: Neotoma lepida (desert woodrat)
Lineage: Eukaryota; Metazoa; Chordata; Mammalia; Rodentia; Cricetidae
Rfam family: tRNA
About the family: Transfer RNA (tRNA) molecules are approximately 80 nucleotides in length. Their secondary structure includes four short double-helical elements and three loops (D, anti-codon, and T loops).
Source: Rfam by way of RNAcentral